This 1001-nucleotide ribosomal RNA is filed under the name Bacillus sp. (in: firmicutes). Its description in RNAcentral is "bacterial SSU rRNA". It matches the Rfam family "Bacterial small subunit ribosomal RNA", at positions 33 to 1032 of the family's 1533-position model. Lineage: Bacteria; Bacillati; Bacillota; Bacilli; Caryophanales; Bacillaceae. The record is from RNAcentral.
GCAUUGAAGGGGUUGCUAUACAUGCGAGUCGAGCGGACCUCUUCGGAGGUCAGCGGCGGACGGGUGAGUAACACGUGGGCAACCUGCCUGUAAGACUGGGAUAACUCCGGGAAACCGGAGCUAAUACCGGAUAACCUUUUGAACCGCAUGGUUCAAAACUGAAAGACGGUUAUGCUGUCACUUACAGAUGGGCCCGCGGCGCAUUAGCUAGUUGGUGAGGUAAUGGCUCACCAAGGCGACGAUGCGUAGCCGACCUGAGAGGGUGAUCGGCCACACUGGGACUGAGACACGGCCCAGACUCCUACGGGAGGCAGCAGUAGGGAAUCUUCCGCAAUGGACGAAAGUCUGACGGAGCAACGCCGCGUGAGUGAUGAAGGUUUUCGGAUCGUAAAGCUCUGUUGUCAGGGAAGAACAAGUGCGGGAGUCACUGCCCCGUGCCUUGACGGUACCUGACCAGAAAGCCACGGCUAACUACGUGCCAGCAGCCGCGGUAAUACGUAGUGGCAAGCGUUGUCCGGAAUUAUUGGGCGUAAAGCGCGCGCAGGCGGUCUUUUAAGUCUGAUGUGAAAGCCCCCGGCUCAACCGGGGAGGGUCAUUGGAAACUGGAGGACUUGAGUGCAAAGGAGGAGAGUGGAAUUUCCACGUGUAGCGGGUGAAAUGCGUAGAGAUGUGGGAGGAACACCAGUGGCGAAGCGACUCUCUGGGUCUGUAGCUGACGCUGAGGCGGCGAAAGCGUGGGGGGAGGCGAACAGGAUUAGAAUACCCUGGUAGUCCACGCCCGUAGACGAUGAGUGCUAUGGUUAAAGGGUUCCGCCCAUUAGGUGGCUGCAGCUACGCAAUAAGCACUCCGCCUGGGGAGUACGGUCGCAGACUGAACUCGACGAAUUGAACUGGGGUCCGCACUAGCGGUGGAACAGGUGGCUUAUUUCGAGCAACCCUAAGACUACGGUCUGGACUCCCUGGCCAUUCCGAAUUGAACGCUCAUCGGUCAGAUGACGCGU